RNAcentral lists this ribosomal RNA (497 nucleotides) under uncultured bacterium. RNAcentral describes it as "partial 16S ribosomal RNA". It matches the Rfam family "Bacterial small subunit ribosomal RNA", at positions 28 to 507 of the family's 1533-position model. The record is from RNAcentral.
GAUGAACGCUGGCGGCGUGCCUAAUACAUGCAAGUCGAGCGAACGGACGAGAAGCUUGCUUCUCUGAUGUUAGCGGCGGACGGGUGAGUAACACGUGGAUAACCUACCUAUAAGACUGGGAUAACUUCGGGAAACCGGAGCUAAUACCGGAUCAUAUUUUGAACCGCAUGGUUCAAAAGUGAAAGACGGUCUUGCUGUCACUUAUAGAUGGAUCCGCGCUGCAUUAGCUAGUUGGUAAGGUAAAGGCUUACCAAGGCAACGAUGCGUAGCCGACCUGAGAGGAUGAUCAGCAGCACUGGAAAUGGGACACGGAGCAGACUACUACGGGAGGCAGAAGUGGGGAAUAGUGGAGAAGGGGCGCAAGCCUGAUCCAGCAAUACAGCGUGGGUGAAGAAGGCUUUCGGGUUGUAAAGCCGUUUUGUUGGGAAAGAAAAGAAGUGGGUUAAUACCCCGCUGUUCUGACGGUAACCAAAGAAUAAGCACCGGCUAACUUCGUG